This 300-nucleotide ribosomal RNA is filed under the name uncultured Lactobacillus sp. RNAcentral's name for it is "bacterial SSU rRNA". It matches the Rfam family "Bacterial small subunit ribosomal RNA", at positions 497 to 795 of the family's 1533-position model. Lineage: Bacteria; Bacillati; Bacillota; Bacilli; Lactobacillales; Lactobacillaceae. The record is from RNAcentral.
CUACCGACGAGCAGGCGGAGUGGGGCAGACGGAGGAUCCAGGCGUUAUCCGGAUGUACUGGGGGUAAAGCGUUGCGUAGGGUGCAUAGUAAGCAGACAGUGAGAGCGGACGGCUCAACCGGAUACACAUUGUCUGAACCGCUAAGCUAGAGGACGAGAGAGGUAGAUGGAAUUCCCAGUGUAGGAGUGAAAUCCGUAGAUAUUGGGAGGAACACCGAUGGCGUAGGCAGUCUACUGGCUCGUUUCUGACACUCAGGCACGAAAGCGUGGGGAGCAAACGGGAUUAGAUACCCCAGUAGUC